Molecule: long non-coding RNA, 538 nt
Organism: Canis lupus familiaris (dog)
Lineage: Eukaryota; Metazoa; Chordata; Mammalia; Carnivora; Canidae
Exons: 2
Source: RefSeq, a predicted model, not a curated record
UGUCCUUUUAUAAAAAGAGAGAGGCCAGAGCUGGCUUGCUGCCACAUGAGAAGACUAGCCAGGAUGGGGGUUUGCUAGAAAGUCGAUCAGCCGACAGUGAGAAACAAAUUUCUGUUCCUGAAGCUGUCCAGUGUGUGGUAUUUUGUCAUGGCAGCCUGAGCUAAGACCAGUGGGGUCACCAAAUCUACCGGAGCUUUGUGAAAGGAAAACUAGAGUGAAAAACAAAGGAAAGAGGAAGAUACAGUAUCUUGGAAACAGCUCUCUAACCUAGGAGGGCAGUAAAGGGAAGACCAUGAUAACAGCUAUGCAGCAAUUAGUCUAUGCUGGAGUAGAACUAAAAGUCUAAAAGGGAGAAAAAAAUGUAGGCUCCACGCAAUAGAGUAAAAUUGAGAUGCUAAAUAAUCCUGAGGAUUAGAAGGCAUAUUAUACUUGAGUCAACAAGAAAAGACAAUUAGAAACUCCAGAAAAAAAAAAAAGUUAUUUUAAAGAAGUCUUGGACUCAACAUGUAACAAUUUAAUAUGGGGCAUAAUUUAGAGU